ACUGACAGAGCCAAGCGAGUUUUUUCCCCUUGGCCGGAAGGUCUGGGUAAUCUUGUGAAACUCUGUCGUGCUGGGGAUAGAGCAUUGCAAUUAUUGCUCUUCAAC
RNAcentral lists this non-coding RNA (105 nucleotides) under Laccaria bicolor S238N-H82. RNAcentral describes it as "Eukaryotic small subunit ribosomal RNA". It matches the Rfam family "Eukaryotic small subunit ribosomal RNA", at positions 1502 to 1604 of the family's 1831-position model. The record is from Rfam by way of RNAcentral. Lineage: Eukaryota; Fungi; Basidiomycota; Agaricomycetes; Agaricales; Hydnangiaceae.